GGACUACAUGUAGGAGGAAUUCUACACUGUCACACUUGCACCACAUCAUCAAUAACAAGUUAAUCACAUUUCUUUUUUUCAAACAAAAGUACAAUAAAAAUAUUUUUUUAUAAUCAUGAUGGGACAUAUAUUUUUAAAAGAAAAUAUUUGAUUAGCUUGUUACGCCACGUCACCAAUAUACCCGUUGCAUUCUAGAAUUUUUCUACAUGUAGGGUGCUGUUGCCUGAUGGGCUGCUGUAGCCUAAUGGCUUAAUCUUAGAUAGGGAUGCAAACGGGGCGGAUCUGGGGGUGGGAGCCACGCCCCGCCUCCCGUCCCGAAUAGCAAAAUCCCGCCCCGCCUCACGCUCCGAAUCCGUGACGGGUUAAAAAAUACAUCCCAUAAUUUGUCCCGCCUCGUAACCAGCCUCCCGCCGGCGCCCCAAAUCCGCUCCGCCAACUAAUAUUUUUUAUAAAAUUAUAAUAUUAUUAAUAUUUUAUAAAUUAUAAAUUAAUAAUUUUUAAUAAUAUUAUUAUAUAUAUAAUUUAACAAUAUUAAUUAUAAAAAUAAAAAAUAUCAAUCACAAUUCAAAACAAAAUUCAAAAGUUUCAAAUACAUUAAAAGUGAGAGUACUAACUUAUUUAUAUUUUGAACUUUUUUUGUAAAUACAUUAUUUUUUAGGACUAUUUUUUUUAAAAUAUAAAUGAUUUUCGAGGCGGAUUCGGGGCGGAUCAUGGCGGGGCGGAUUCGGGGCGGGUCAAAAUUUUUCCCAUUUUCUGUCCCGAAUCCGUCUCGGAUCCUAAAAUUUACCCCGUUUUUCGCUCUGAAUUCGUUUAUUUUCUCCCGUUUACUGCCC
Molecule: long non-coding RNA, 833 nt
Filed under: Ananas comosus (pineapple)
Lineage: Eukaryota; Viridiplantae; Streptophyta; Magnoliopsida; Poales; Bromeliaceae
Description: long non-coding RNA (ACOM_LNC035499)
Source: RNAcentral